AUUUUUUUCCAUUUCCAUUUCUACACAAGACUCCAUUACCUUACAACCAACCAUGGACAGACCUUGUCCGAGCUAUUUCUGUGCAAGAAUUAUAUCUCUCCACGUUUGAGUUAGCCCGCCUCAACGUCUCUUUCCAGUUCCAUGCUUCAAGACGCGCUAUAAUCUUCAAAGACCAUAAGUGGUCGAACCAUUUUCGUGUAAUGGCUAAGUCAAAUCACGUGAAGAUCUGUUCAAAACACUUUCAAUGUUCGGAUUUAAACAGUUCCGUUUGACUCGAUUUCAAACAUUAGAUAAUUCAAAUCCCGCCCUAAACUUUGAAUCCUAACAAACCCUAAUUUGUAUCUAUAAAUACUAGCAUUUGGAUUCCAUUUUGGACCAAGUUUUUGAACCGCCCCCUUUACCCCUGGAAGGUUUUUUUUAUUAGCUGCCGCCCACACCCUUAGAACGUUACUGCUCCUCUCUCUUAUCAAACUUAAUUGUCUAGCUUUAUUUGUCUCUGUUAAGUUCCAGAUAUCACAAAGGCUUCGCAUUUAAUUCAUUAUAUAAGUUCUGACACUUUUCAGGAGUAAGGAGUACAUCUAAGACCCCUGCCCUGCACCCGCAAAAGAUACACUUUGAAGCAAAUGGAGUCUUAAUUCGGGACUCUCUCAAAAUGUAGUCUUAGAACGAGACUCAGCGUUAUUGCUAUACUCGUGCAUGGAGUCGACACAUCUCAUAUUCUUUGACCACAUCAGUCAGCGAAAACAAGCGAAAUCGCUUGAGGCCGCCUAUAACAUCUUUAUUCUUUUCCUUUUUCCCCUUUCCUUCACAUUCUAUUUGUUUCGUCUUGCUUUUAUGAUUGCUAAUUUACUUGUAUUUGGAUAUAUUGAUUUAUAGAUAAUAGUUUUAUCAUUUAGGAUUACCCUGUAAACAUUAAGUACUUAUUUUAUCAUGUAGAAUGCAAAACCGAUCUUCAUAAAGAUUUUAUUAUUAAAAUAAGAAAUGGUUUUAUUGGGAUACUUAUUAACUCGGCCUUUUUUUAUAAUUUUGAAGCAGCUGUUUUUUGCUUAAUAGAUAAAGUGCACAAUUUGAACUUGUGUAUACCUCAAAUCUUAUUUUACUCUUUUGCUGAAAAAUGUAGCCUGGGAGCAAGUGGAUUAAAAUUUCCGUUUUCAGUGUUUGGGAUAUUUUUAAAAGGAGGAGAACUGAUUUGGAGAAUUUGCCAUGUUAUAAGCCAAUAAUUUGUUUUCAAAAUCAGAUUGACUCCAUAACAUUUUUAAAUUGCUCAAAUAAUUGUUUUAGAAACCAUGAAUGCUCAAAUCAUUUUGCAUCUUUUUGACCAUCUGAAAGUCUUUGGACUUGUAAAGGUUUUUUCACGUUUUGAUCUUCCGUUGAACUUCGAAUUUUGCUAUUGUUAUUCAUAUAAUAAAUAUUAUAACUUGUUUUCCUCAAAAGAUAUUUCCUUAACAUUUUUACACUAGAAUAAUUAACCUAAGUUUGGCCGGUUAACCGUAGUUAGUUGAUCUUAAAGGAUGCUUAACCCCUUCCUUUUAGGAUAACUAAGAACCCUUAUCUAGAAUCACAUUAGUUAAGUAGAUUAUUAAUCGGAGUUAAUUUUUAGCAUUUACUUAGUUAAAAUAGAUGUCCUUAUUCUCCUUUAAAAUAAUUAGGUGGCAACUCCUUUAGUUAAAUAAUUUAGGAAUCACCAAUAUGUUGUACUCCGCUUUGACCCGGUUAAAAUGGGAUAUAACACUUUGUUUACCUAAACAACUGAUUGUGGAAUGAUCAUCAUCUUAGUCUAUGUAGAUGACCUACUGAUUACAGGUAGUAGUACAUCUUUAAUCCAAGAGGCAAACGAUACACUGAAUCAUAACUUCAAGAUGAAGGAUCUAGGUACUUUGAGAUAUUUUUUGGGCAUUGAAUUUGCUAGAUCAACAAAGGGAAUGAACCAAAGAAAGUAUGCUUUGUAGUUAAUAUCUGAAUGUGGUUUAGGGGGAGCAAGGCCAGCAUCCACUCCAUUAGAACAAAAUCAGAAGCUCACCAGUGCUGAGUAUGACAGACUUACUGAGACACAUGGUGAUGAAGUGCUAGGGGACAAGACUGGAUAUUAGAGAUUAGUUGGUAAGCUUUUGUAUCUGGCAGUUACAAGACCAGACAUUUCAUUUACAGUAUAAUUUUUGUGUCAAUUCAUGCAUGAACCAAAAGAAUCAUAUUGGGAAGCAGCCCUCCAUGUGGUUAGAUACAUCAGGGGACAACCAGGUCUUGGACUUCUCAUGAGCAGUAGAAACUCAAAGAGUGUUGUAGCUCAUUGUGAUGCAAACUGGACAUCAUGCUCUAGGUGACUCAUUAAUUUCAUGGAAGUAAAAAAAACAGUCCGCAGUAUCUAAAAGUACAAUAGAGGUAGAAUAUAAGAGUAUGGCAGGAAUUAAGGGUACAUAUUGAUCAGCCUAUGCAUCUUUUCUAUGACAACAGGGCAGCACUACAAAUAGCAUCCAAUCCAACGUACCAUGAGAGAACAAAGCACAUUGAGAUUGAUUGCAACUUUAUCAGAGAAAAAAAAUCCAACAAGGGCUUAUUGGAACAAGUCAUGUCAACACUAGAGAACAAUCAGCAGGCAUACUACCAAAGUGUCUUGGAAGACAACAACAUGACUACCUGGAGUUGCAGGGGUGGCAGCCCCUACGAUGGAGGAAGCAAGGGCCCGAAGGGUGAAACAUGAAUAUGAUAGCUCAACGAGAUAAAAGGAGGGGAUGGUAGUAAAAGGUUUCCAACAGAAAGGAAGGUAUCGAUUUCACUGAGAUUUUCUCCCUUGUGGUUAAACUGCAUACUAAUCGAGUUAUGUUAAACAUUGUUGUUGCAUAAGAUUUACAGUUAGAGCAGUUACAUGUAAAGACAGUCUUUCUCCGAUCCAUAGAGAUCUAGAAGAAUAUCUAUAGAUGAAGCAACAUGAAUAUGAAGAUAAUCAGAACUCCAUGUAUGAGUUCUAUGUAGAAACUAGAAAUGAGAGAAGAAGGUGAUCGAGAAGAAGUAGAACAUAUUAGUGAUGAAGAAAAGAAUUAGAUGACCUUCAUUGAGUCUGAACCUUUCCUUGUUGGAUUUUCUCCCUAAUGAAGUGACAGUCAAUCUCUAUGUGUUUUGUCCUCAUGGUACACUGGAUUGGAAGCAAUUUGAAUUGCUGAUUUACUGUUACUAUAGAUAGUAACAGGAAGUUUAAUCUCAACCUCUAAUUCAGUCAACAAUUCUAGCAGCUAUGUAAGUUUUGAUAAUGCAGAAGCCAUGCUCCUGUAUUCUGCUUCUGCAGAGCUUCUAGAGAUAGUUGUCUGCUUUUUUGACUUCCAUUAAACGAGUGAUUCACCUAGCUUGAUUAGAAACCCUGAGACUGAUCUUCUAGUGCGAGUGCAGCCUGCCCAAUCAACAUCACAGUAUACCCUCAUAGUUUGAAUAGGUUUGCUUAACAUAAGAAUCCCUUGGCCAGGCUGAGCCUUGAUAUAUCUAACAAUCCUUAGUGCAGCUUCCAUGUGAGAUUUCUUAGGUUGUUGUAAAUAUUGACUUAAUGUCUGAACUGCAAAUUCAAUAUCUAGUCUAGUAACAGUUAAAUAUAGUAACUUCCCUAUGUGCCUUUGAUGUGAACAUAUAUCUAUCAGCAAUGGAUCUUCAGUGCUCUUGAUCUUUCCAUGAUCUCCAUGCUCCUUCACAUAAUCAUCAUACUCUUUUGUUGUUAACUUCAUAUUUGUAUCAAUUAGAGUACAAGCUGGUUUAGAAGCUGCUAUUCCAAGUUCUGAGAUCAAUUCUAAAAAGUACUUCUUUGAUGCAUUAAGAUUCCUUCUUUGGACCUGGCAAACGCUAUGCCAAGAAAAUACUUUCAACUCUCCUAGAUCUUUCAUCAUGAACACCUGUUGUAAGGCAGCUUUUCUUCUUGAAUCUGAGCUAAACUAUCACUAGUUACUAGAAUAUCAUCAACAUAGACCAAUAUAAUGAUAGUUCCUUAUUUCUUUUUCUUCACAAAGAGUGAAUGGUCAUUUUGAUUUUGCACAAACUAAAACUUCACUAAAGCCUGUUGACACCCAAUUUUGUUCCUUCCUCCCCAAAAUACUUAUUUAUGCUUCUAAUAUUUUUGGCAAUUUAAGAAAUAAUUAUUUAUAUUUCACCAUAAUUAUUAGCUUUUACCGGCGUUUCAUUAUUCCAUUGCAGUCACUAGCUGUCAUUAUUUUUAUAACUACUACCACUAUUAUCCUUACCCUUAUUGUUACUAUUAUUAUUAUUAUUAUUAUUAUUAUUUCGUUAUUAUUAUUAUUAUUAUUACCAGUAUUAUUACAAUUCGCAUUAUAAUCAUUUCAACAUUUUUUACCAUUCUAUGCACACGCAUCGCAUUUAUUUUCGCGCAAUUAAAUAAUAGCAUUUAUUUACUGUUGAACUUUUAAAAUAUUAUCGCACGGUUAUUACGACGUCUUAUAAUUUUAUCUGAGCACUAAUAAUUACAUAUUUUAUAUUAGGUGAUAUUUUAGCACACAUUAGUGUAUAGUUAAUUAAAAUGGGUCUUUUAUUUAAAUUUAGAAGCCCAAAUUAGUUCUUUCAUCAGCCAAAUUAUUAGUCCAAAUCCAAACCCAAUUAACCACCAAUAUUUUUCGUAUUAGCCCAAAAUGACCCAGCCUACCUUUGUAAUUCGCUCAACCCACUAUUCAUCUACCCGACCCAGCCCCCUAUUCAUCUACCCGACCAGCCCACAUUUUACUCACCAACCCAGUUCAUUAAUCUCUUGACCCGGUGACCCGACCCGUGUCAUUUAACAAAAACGAACAACUAGGUCUUCAUCGUUUUCAUCUGCCGCACUUCCUCUUCUCUCUCUCUCUCUCUCUCUCUCUCUUCACCCUCUCUCUCCCUUUCCGAUGAAAACAGCAAAAUCGCAGACCUAUUUCGUCUUCCCCAGACCGUGCAUGGUUGAUUUGGGAAAGGAAAUUAAUGCCCUGUACUCCCUCAUCAGUGUUUUCAACCGUUGACGAGUUUAGAUUUUGUUUGCUUCCUUUCUCCUCUGCUUCGAUCUGAAACCAUUUUAAUGGAUUUCGUCGAUUAGUGAGGUAAAAAAUUGUUUCUUUAUCAGCUGCUUUUUCAUUUUCGAGUACGAAAAUUUUAAUUGUUUUUGUCUACUUCUCCCUUGGUUUUGAUCGAUGACAGAAAGACUAUAACGUUGUAUUUGAACAAAAUUGACUUAGAAUCCCGCCCAAAUUUUAAACCCUAGAAAACUCUGAUAUCCUCCUAUAAAUAAUGGCUUGGGAGGUCAGUUAAGGGAGAGUUCUUUAAUCGCGGAAAUUCCCCUAAAAUUAGAGUUCUUUUUAGCCGCCGUGAAUACCCUAAAGAAAAGUCUUUUCAGCCGCACAAAACUUCUUAAAAUUAUAGUUCUUGAAUCGCCAAAUUUCCUCGAAAAAUACAAGUCUUUAACUGUUCGAGUUCCCCUUUUAAAAUAUUAGCUCUUAAUUUUCUUGAUAUCGUCUCAAAUACUAAAUCCUUUUCUGUUUUGCCUUUGGUAUUUGUUCGGGUCUGAGUGUGUACAAACUCGGGAUUGGUGGUGUUUCGAGGUAGAUUGGAAACCCCGCACCCACUUCGCUGCACCCGAAGAAGGUAAACUUUCCUCCUUUUUGCAUAAUGCCUUUAAGUUAGUGUUUAUGUUCGUAUGUUUGAUAUUUGGUUGUGUUUGUUUAGAUUAGUCUACAAUUAGUCUUAAUAAGUCUGCUUUAGGUCUAAUUAUUGUUGUUAAGUUGUUGGUUGUUGAUUAUUGUAUGGAUUAAUUGGGUUAUUUGAUGUUAAGGUUAGUCCAUAUGAGUAUGCCUAAUUAGUUUUUUUUGGGCAAAUAUAGUUAAGUUUGGAACCCCUAGAAAUUGCUAAAUGCUAACAAUAUUUGUCCAAUCAUAACUAGUUUAGUCAUCUGCUAUUUGUUUUAAGUAGUUGGUCAAUCUGUUAGUUUUUCAUGAAAUCAAUUAGUUAAUUGUUGGUGUGUGCGCAGACUUGUUUAGUUUGAAUAUUGCUUGACCAUGUGUUUAUAGAUGCUGUCUAGUACCUUAUUUGAAUGAUGUUCAUGUUUAGUUUAUCUUAAGCAUGUAUUCUCAUGUAACUCAGUCAUACUUAAACCACUAAUUUUCUCACAUACCUACUGGUUUUGAGCAUAAGUUUGCCUGUAUAUUUAGCUGUUGUCACUUGUUGUACUAUAUGUUUAUUAACAUGAUCAUAUGGUUCAUCAUUUGUUGGUUCAUUAGUAUGUUUAGUCUGAUCAAUGAUUCAAGUAUGAGUUAGUGGUUACUAGGCUUAUGAAACUGAAAUGAAAGAAAGUCUGCACUAAUUCUUCAUGUAGGAAUUCUGUCUACUUUGUCCCUUAUGUUCCUGUCUAAACUAUUAAUAAGGUAAACAUCUAGCUUAAAUAUUCUUUGCUCUGAAACCAGUAGUUCUAGUACCUUUUUUUAUUAAUAUCAGAAACUUUAUUUUGAGUCAAGUAGAAUUCUGGGAACCAUCUCACAUACGGAUUAUAGUCAGCCCUUCAUAAGAUUUAAGUAAUAGUAAUGAUAUUGCUGCUUUCCUCUGCUCUUUUUCUGUCAUUUUCCUGCCUCUGUUCAGUGAUCUUUUCGCCUUUAAUUAGCUCAGCUUGCUCCUCUAAUCUGUUAUGUGCUCUGUUAAAACCCCUUUAAGUAAAAUUCUCGGGAAGCAUGUAUUUUCAAAUCAUGAAAUAAUCCUGUUUUAACUAUUGGUGUUUCUUUGACUUUAGUUGUAUGUGUUCUGAAGACUGAAUCUAAUGUUCAAGUGAUAGUUUAAGCUGUCUAAAACCAGUUAGUUGUCGUAGUAGAGUCUCGCUCAACUUUCAUUGUGAGACUCUUCCCUUCCUCAAUAGACUUGAGAGAAUCACCUCUAUUUGUCUGAAGCACAGGUCACGUUUUGUCUUAAAAAAGGAAGGGGGGGGGGGGGGAUAAAAUCCAUUUUUCAUAUUCCAACGUGCUUAAAAGAGUUAAACUCAGUUUGUUCUUCUCUUAUACUUGAGUGUAUAGUUAGGCAGUUUGUUUCAGUUAUAACAGCAAGUUGAUAUUUGAUUUGGUUCUCUUAAAAAUCCCUUAAACUUGCUACGCCACUGUUUGAACCAUGUCAAAGUUUUCACUAGAUGAGGCCGUAUGAUAUCUUUAUAUUAAGACAUAAAAUGUGAUACAUCGUAUUCUUUUAAGUGUAAGCUAAGUACCAGUUACCAACUCAACCCUUCCCCUAAAGCAGUGGGUUUAAAUUGUUUCUUUCACUAGUGUAAAGUUUCUAAUUUGAAUGCUAUUACUUUACUUUGUUUCUUUGCUGGGCUGCAAAGGCUCAAUAACGCAUAUGUGCGCACCACUGUUAUCUUUUAUGAAUUAUAUGCAUGUAUACACGAAGUAUACUUAAUGUGUAUAUACAUCACUUGUGUGUUGAGUUUGCUCUAUUAAUUUGGCAUGUCAAGGUCCUGCUUUUAUUUAUUAUUUACGUGAUGUUUUAUUUUGUUUCGGCUGUUGCUUUUCUUUUUUUUUCAUUUGAAGUAUAGGUUUUUGAAGUAUACUAAUCCUUUUUUUUAUGCAUGACCCUCGUGUACGAGUCCAAGGGACUCUCCUUCUCCCGUAUUCGGUGUUGGGCUAAAAGCCCAACGCAAUCUCUCUCCCGUGUCAACCCAUCCGCAGCAAAAUUAAAAAAAAAAGAUUUCUGGGCUAAGCCCAACAGCAGCAGCCAAUCCGCAGCAAUAUAUAAAGGAAAUUUACUGGGCCAAAGCCCAAUAGCAAACAGAUUGCAGCAGUCCUAAAAAAUGGGCUGAGCCCAUUUAAUUUUAUUUACGCCUCUACUUUGUUUUUGCGUAUUUAAUUUGUAUUAUUCGACUAACCCGUUACUUUGUUUUGUUUUCUUAACUUAGAUGAAUUAUAGGGAAUUAGUGUGGAUAGUUUUAGUAGUAAUGGGUAGUUAAUUUAAGGGAAACUAAUAGUUAAUUCUAUAAGAUUUCAUUCUCUCUUUCUUUUUGUUAAAUUAUUCAUAGUAUCUACAAUAUUUAUUUUCAUUAGAAUAAUUGAUUUUCAAAAUAGCAUGACUACAUAAUUUGAGCUAGAGGAAUCAUGAUUUAUUCUUACUAUCUUAGAAAAUUAAAAACGUCACUAAUAUGCAAAUAUGAACUCAAGUAUGUUUUAUAAACAUUGUUUUCAAGAUUUAUCCAAUUAUACAUAUUUUUAGUCGAAUAUAAGUUAAUAAAAAAAGAAAGAAAACUCACUUCCUUUUGCAUCUUAUUUAUAAAAAUAAGUCUAGAUUUUUCUACAUCACCAUAUUCAUAUAAGAUAAUUUUAUUCAAAGUUCAAAUGUGCUAAAAGCUAUUACUUAUAUGCAAACUAUUAUAUUUUCUACAAGUCUCAUUUUAAAUCGUGUUAUCAUAUUUUCAUUUAAGGUCUUGGCAACAUUUAUAAGUCUUAUUUUAAAUAGCAUUUAAAGUCUUCUUUUAUACAAAUCAUUAUAUUCUUCUACAAAAUUCUAUCUUAAAUAGCAUUAUUGUAUUUCUAUUUAAAGUCUUAACAACAUUUAUAAGUAUUAUUUUGUAACGACCCAUUUGGUCGUUUAGCACUUUUGGUCUCAUUUUCGUUAAAAUACACUUUCGUAUUUUUAAAAGGUAUUUUUGACUUGCGGAGUGGGUGCACGGCGAUUUAAUUGAUGGGUAAUUCUUGAAAUAUAUUUAUUUAAUGUAUGUGAAUAGCUACUUACAGGAAUAUGAGUUUCACAAGGUCUAAGUUGGUAAAUAAAGUAAUUGACGGAAUGAACUUUAUACAAAUAGUUAAGUGCAUCGGUAAAUUUAUAGAAAUUAUAGGGAUAAGUUAUUGGGCUUAACCCACUUCUCAUGACCCAUAUAUCUUAGUGACAUAGGGUAUCAAAUAAUUUAUUAAUUCUGGCAUGAAAAAAAAAAGGGAGAGGAACACUUUUGACACAACAAAGUGACGGCAAUAACUGAAGGGUCAGUUUCUUCGUGACUAAGACCUUGCGAAAACAACAGGUAAUCUCUUUUACAUUUGGUCCUUUCACUUAAAUAAAGGCUUAAUGAUUAUUCACAAUCGAUGAACAUGAUGAGUACUACUAUUUGAGUUGUGAGAUAGAGAAAUGGCUACAAUUGAAUUGACUGUACGGGAGUGAUUUGGCAAAUGAAAGGGGUAAUAAUGGGGCUAUCAUUAGGUAAUCAUUCGAACAUUAUUAAUGUUGUGUGGAAGGGAUAGGAUUUUAGGGGUAGCUACAUGCUUUUUUUUUCCAUUACGUACUUGAAUGGUGGGAACUACUUUAUUUAUGAUGAUAUAAUGUUUACAAAAUUAUGUGUGGGCUAAUGAUAAUCUAAUGAUGACUAAUCAUUGGGCAAUGAUGAUAAGACUAAUGGUUAAAUUGUUUCUGCAAAUUUGCUACGUAAUUGAAGUUACAGUUUUGUAACUUAGGCUACAGUUAUUGGAAUUUCCUUUCCACGUAUUAUCAUGAUUGCACUUCAAUUCAAAUACAUAGGGUAUAUAUUUUGGUAUUGAAUUAUAUGAAUACCUUCGAAUUCAUGGUAUUUGAAUUGUGGAAAGUUAGAUUUUUGUCCGAAGUUAAGCUAUUAGAGUAAUUAAAGGUUUCGAGUCCUAGUCCUAAGAAAGGAGAAUUAACGAUUUGAGAGUUCAUUUAUGGAUGAAAUUGACCAAUUUUAAAAAUAUAUGAUCCUUAGAUAAUGGGUGAAAUUAUUUUUCAAUAAAAUUUCAAUCUUGCCCUUGUGGGCCCAAGGCCACUUUUAGGGGUGCAUUUUUGGGUUUCGAAUAUAAAUAUAGCAAUAUGGGUGUCCUUAGAUUCAUAUUCUAACGUAGAUUGCAUAUUUUAUAGAUUUUGAUCGUUCAGAAGCUCUACGCAAAGGGAAGACAUUAGUUUGAUUGUUCGUGGCACCUGUUCGGCAUUGAGAGUACGAUCCAGGUUCCAGUUCUACACCCCGUGGCUGAUACGCGAGGGUGACAUAUUUCAGUCAUUCAAGGUGAUACACCAAUUACAGAAGAUGGCAUCCUAUUGAUUAUAUACACAACAGUUUGAACAGAGUAACCCCAGAAUUUUAAUGAAAUAUUAGCCUGUAAUCUCAAAGCUCUUGUAAUUUCCAAAAUGUGUCUACAUUUCCUCUUAGCAACACCAUUCUGCUGAGGGGAAUAUGCACAUGUUCUUUGGUGAAUAAUAGCGGUGUUUUUUAACAUUGUGCUGCAGAUUUCAUUUACAAAUUCUGCACCAUUAUCAGUUCUGCAUACUUUCACAGUUUUGUUAUACUGUGUUUAUACAAAAUCUAAGAAAUGUGGUAAAAUGACACAUACAACAGAUUUCAGUUUCAACAAAUAAAUACAAGUCAUUCUAUUAUAAUAAUCAACUAUGGUUAGAAAACAUUUGAAAUCAUCAAUAGUAGGUAUUUCAUAAGGACCCCAAACAUCAAUGUGAACAAUGUCAAAACAUUCAUUACUCUUAAUACUACUUGCAGGAAAAGGAAGUCUUGUCUGUUUGUCACAUGGACAUACAAUGCGUUUAUUGAUUAUUUCAGAGAUGCUAUCCUUUGAACUAGCUAAUAUUUUGUGUAAGACAGAUAUGGACACAUGUCCAAAUCUCAUAUGCCAUAGAUUGAUUAAAUUCUUGACUGGUUUUAGCUGCUAGAUUUACACCAUAAGUAGUAUGAUCUCCAGAUGAUUGAUUAAGUAGAUAAAGCCCAUCCUCGUGUCUACCAAUCUCUUUCACCUCCCACUGGAGAGAUCCUGAAAUAUACAGAAAUCAGGAUAAAACAAGGUUGCACACCUUAACUCUCUCUUGUAGCCUUAGAAAUAGACAUUAAGUUAUACUUAAAUUGUGGCAAUACAAACACAUUUUCUAAGGUACUUCUAGAUGAUAUAGAGAUUGAACCAGUGUGUGUAACCAUAUAGAUGUCACUAUUUGGUAAAUAUACAGGUUUUGGAUUCUUAUUCUUAGUGACAAUUGACUUAUCUGGCAGCUCUAUACUGGACACCAUAUGAUUAGUGGCACCAGUGUCAAUAAUCCAUUGCACUACUCUAGCUAAAAUAAGCAUUAUUUAUACCUGUAUGCUUACUAGUUAUGUUACCUACGUGAUUUUCAGAUCCUGUUGUUGACACCUAAUUUUGGCUCGACAUGCUUAAAAUUAACGUUUUGGGGGGCUCUGAUUCGUUAAAGAGCGCGAAAUACAUUUUUACACAUUUUUACAUUUUCGACAAUUUAUUGAUGAUUAUCCUUAUUUUAGGAAUUUUAUCAAUUUAUUGUAUUUUCCAAGAAUCAUUAUUUUGCACAUGUACAGAGUAAUACUACCAUUUUUCUGCAAUUAAUAAUUGUUUCUUAAUUUUAUAGCAGUACAUUUUUAUAUUUUAUAAUUACGUUAUUAUUUAUAUUUUAUACUUACAUUAUUAUUUAUAUUUUAUACUUACAUUAUUAUUUAUACAUGAAUUAAUUAACUAUAUUUUAGUACAGUCUGUCAGUACAGAGAAAAUCGGAGCAAUUAAUUUUUAAACGCAGAACAAAAAUUCGAUCAAGUCAAGGUCUCGUCACCUUUUUAAAAGUUGACAUUUGAGGUGACGGGUUGGGUUCUUGAUCCAUUGAUUAAUAAAUUUUUAGACAUUGGUUAAAAGAGUGAAAUCUUCAUUGGACAAUAACCCAAGGAUUGAAAUAAGCAUUGAGGGGACAAAGGGGUGCAUUCUUUUAUUUUUUGGACAAAAGAGGGGUUAAUUUUUUUUUUCAUCCUUUGUCUUCAUCAACUACAUAUAUUUACACACACACACACAACAUAAACAUUUCAGAUCUUGCUCUAAACAUUUUUCCCCCUCACUUCUCUCUCUACACGCCGCCGCCACCACGCCGGAGCUCGGAGCUCCGGCGACGCACCAUGACCCCCCAACAACACCACGCAACCCUCUACUCCCUCCACCACACCUCUCUCCACUGCCAAGCCAACCCCGACGGACUCCCACCGUCGGAGCUCCGGCAGAAACCACAACCACAACCACACCACCACGCCACCCAUCCCUCACUUUUCCCUUUCGUUCUCCUCCCAUCACCACCCCUACUCCAAGCAGACCAUGCCAGAGCAGCCAACAAACAGCCGACCAAACACCACCGCGCCACCACCAACGCGAAACCCCAGCCCUUUUCCUCUUUUCCCCGCUGCUCUCUCUUAUCUCCCUUCGUUUUGACGCCACCAGCGAACAACCCACGCAUAACCACUGCUAGCCUUCCCUUUCCCUUCUCUCUUUAUUUUUUUUUCUCUCGCCCGGAGCUUCGCCGGAGAUUGUUCUCCGACGACCAUGGCUGCCCCGUUUUUUUACUACAUUUUCCAUCACUGCUGUUAUUAUAUUAAAUCACUGCUAGGUUUAUUAUUGUCUUUAAUAAUUUUGUGUUGCCUUAACUGUUUCGGAAAAUCAUUGGCGCUGUCUUUGCAUUUGUCGGACGUAUUCUGCGAGUUCAUUUUUUUAGUUAUUGCUGCUGUUGUAAUAUAGCUAUGGAUAAUUUGCUAUUGGUUUUGUACUACAUUCAUCCGUGUUAUGUUGCAUUCAGACUGAUUUUACAUUUUUCUUUUACUAAAUAAAUGUUGGCUUUGUGCCCGAAAAAAAAAUACUUUUGGCGGUCAAUGGUACUGUUAACUUUUUAUCGCAUUUAGUUAAAUUCAUUUGGGCGAAUACUAAACCCAAGUGGCCGAUGAAGAAAUUUCCGUCGAUUUCCAAGGCCUCCCAUGUACAAAAGACGGGUUUUUUAUUUUAAGUAUAUUCAUUAUUUCUUUAAUUCAUUCGAUAGUUAUUUAUUCUCUUACUAACACUUUUACUAAGUGUUUAUACAGGUACCCGGAGAUACAUCCCGGAGACGACACUCGGAAGGAACCCGAAGAUUUCAUCGAAUCACUGUUUGUAUUUACUUUCCGCAUUUUUUUUAUAACUGUACAAAACAUAAACUCAUAGUAUAGUGGAAACAUUAUUUUUGAAAUGACGGGUUGAUAUAUUUAUUUACUUGUCCCCUUGUUUGUUAAACUUAAAAUAGUCAUCGCUUUAGGCAAGACUUAGGCCGUCAAUACUUUCAUAACUAGAUUAAAUUGACUUGGUAUAAAUAUUUUGUUAAAUAAAUUCACACUUUUGACGAUUAGGAAAAAAUACCAGUCCAUCCUUUAUUUUAUAUUCUUUAUACACUCUUAAUACAACUUACAUAUUAUAUUGUUUCGUGUAUAUUAAUACAUAUCUUAAUUAAGUUAAAUUCACAUUUUGACACUAGGCAAAGAUUAAGUCUUCUAUUCACAAAUCUUUUAUUCUUUAGAGGCAUUACACAUUUUCACUCAUUUUUUAUCCACAAUCCCUUAUACUUAUUUUUUACCAAUACUUUUUACAAUUAUUUUGCUCCUUAUUCUCUUGAUAGGAUAUUCAUUAAACAAACACUCUUUUUAACUAAACGGUAGAAACAAGUCAAAUAAAUUUUGCUUUUCUGGAUAAUUUUGCUAUAUAAACUCUUUACACCAAUGAAUAUUCGUAGAUUAUUUUUACAUUCUUUAUGGACUAAUAGACCUAGUUAUACAAUUCUUUAGACAUUUUAUGUUCGAUAUACACUCUUUUAUUCUUGAAAAUACAUUCUUUAUUUAUUUAAUAUCCAUACAUUCUUACAUAGAUGCACAUUCUUUAUAUCCUUGAUAUAUUUAUUUCUUACAUAUUCUUACAUUUGUUUUAUAUUCUUAAUAUAGUUACACAUUCUUUACACUAACAUAUAUAUAUACACUCUUUGUACUAACAGAUAUACUUUUAUACUUACGAGGUACAUUCUCUUUAUUCUCUUUUACAUAUUUUUUUACUAUACAUUCUUUAUGAAUACUUGAUACUUGAUAUAAAUACAUUUUUAUACACUGUAUAUACUUAGUAUAUUAUCACUUAGUGUAGCUUUUCAUGAAGCCAUAAUAUUUUGAAAACAGGUAAUAAUAAUGAUAAACAGAUAGAUAAUCCCCCUCUAGUGUUCAGUUAAACUAAGUUUAAGGACUGUCUUCGGAUAGGCUCUGAGGGAUGCUUAAUACCUUCCACUCGGGGUAAAUAAAACCCUUAUCUAGAAUCUCAUAGGUUUCGUGGACUAAAAUGGAGUAGACACACAAAUACAUAUAGGUUUCCUGAUUUUCCUAAAAAAAUAAAGUGGCGACUCUAACCCUUUUAUACUAGUUAGAAGAUCCGUGAAGUUGAAAACUAUCUUGGACCCAAUUCAAAAUAGGGCGUAACACCUGUAACAUUGAUGAUAGCUGAGAAGCAGUUACUCUUGUUUAGCAUUUGAAGAAUCUGUUCAUAUUGUUCUUUAGUAAACACGCAUGCUCCAGGUUGGUUUCAAUUUCCUUGUUGAAUCCUUCCUUGAUCAAACAACCCUUGAUACAUACUAGUGACAUUAGCAUAUAUCAACCCUUCAUUGACCUGGUGACUAGAUGGAUUGUUGUUGUUGCUUACCCCACUUGAAUUUUCAGUAAAAGUAGCAUUAUAUGCAGCAGGACCUCCUAGUCCAUGACUUGUACUAACCUUCCUUUUCUUGUAACUAGGAGGAUAACUCACUAUUUUGUAAUAGUUUUCUUUUGUAUGUCCCUUGAUCUUGCACACUUCACACCAAAGAUUGUAGUCUCUUUUAUUCUUUUGACCAGAGUAAUUACCAGCUCUAGAAUACAAUGCUGAGGGAUCAAAGUGGUUCAAGUUCUGAGUUCCAAUUUUGUGAUACAAGUUUGACUGAUCAUAUUGUCCUAUUGAGUUCAUAGUAUUAGAUGGCCCCGCCCCUAGUAAACUAGUAGACACAACACUUCUGGCCUUUUGACUUUCAUCAUUGAUUAUCAUGGCAUAAGCCUGAUUAACUGAUGGUAAAGGACUCAUUAGCAAGAUUUGGCUUCUAGGUUGGGUGUAAGAAUCAUUCAGUCCCAGUAAGAAUUGAUAGAGCUUCAAUCUUUGUAUGUAAAUCACAAAGUCUCUAGACUUUUCACAAUUACAGCCAGGAGAAGGAAUAAGAGCCUCAAAUUCAUUCCACAAACUUUUAAGUCUGUUAAAGUACACAGAUGCAUAAGGUGUUCCUUGAGUUAGUGUUGCUAUAUCCUUAUGGAUACUAAAUGUUCUUGAGCCAUUAAUUUCAUCAAAUCUUUCUUUUAAUUCAUCCCAAACUUCCCAAGCAUUUACAGCAUACAUCGCUCCACUAAUCAGAUUACUAGCAAAAAUAUUCAUGAUUCAAGAUAACACAAUAGCUUUAACUCUAUCCUCUUGAUGCCAAAGUUCUUCUCUGAAACUUUCUUUCUUACAGGAACUAUCUACCAGACCAAACUUAUUCCUACCCAGUAGUGCUAAUCUCACAGAUCUAAUCCAUAGAACAUAAUUCUCACUGCCUGUUAACUGAAAAGAAAUCAAUGAAAUUCCACUUACAUCUGAUGAAAAUAAAGGGUGAUUAUGAUCAAUAGUCUGAUUUGAUCCAAGAACUGUUUGAUUGCCAGAUGCAUUUUCAUUUGUGGUAUGAUUGUUAUUGUAACGACCCUUCCGGUCGUUAUGGAAAUUUAGGACUCAAUUGGAAAUUUCGAGGCCGCGGGUGGAUUCAUAGGGUGUCUUUUUAUAUGUAUGCAUGUUUUGUAUUGUGUUUUAAGGCCUUAGAUGAAAUGUGGGGUGAUAGGGGAAAAACUUGAUAGAAAAAUUUGUAAUAGUUAGACUUCCGUACUUGUUUUAGUAUUUCAUGGCAUGACUUAACCAGUUUACUUGAUGCGUGAAUGAGUAGAAUCAUUUGACUUGUUUAAUACAAAAUUAGACCUGAAUGAAUAGAGAUCUUGUGUGUUGGUUCGCCCACUAGAAUUUAGUUGGGUGCCAGUCAUAGCGGGUUGGGUCGUGACAGUUAUUGGCUUCUACUGGAACUCCAUCACUUGCCAUUCACUCAAGAUUUUCACUUCCUUUUUUUUUUUUUUUUUUUUUUUUUUUUUCUUUUUUCAGGUAUAAGAACCCUUUUGUUCUUGGUUCUUGAAAGAACUUCAACUGGUUUCGGAAUUUACCAGUGCAUAGAAUGUGAAAGAAACUUAGAGAAAUCUGAAUCGAAGAACAAUCAGUUCCCCUGCUCUGAUACCAUGAAGAUAAUCAGAACUACAUGUAUGAGUUUUGUGUAGAAACUAGAAAUGAGAGAAGAAGGCGAUCGAGAAGAAGUAGAAUAGAUUAGUGAGGAAGAAAAGAAUUAGAUGACUUUCAUUGAUUAUGAAAAUUGAAUGAUAAAACUUGUAACUUACAAUGAUAUAUAUAUAUAUAUAUAUAUAUAUAUAUCAGUAGAAAUAGAAGACUAACUACUUCAAUAACUACACUUCACAAAUACAGUUAUAACUAACUAAUCCUAACUCAGUAACUAACUCAUCCAGUUGUAUUAACUAACUAAUCCAGUCAUAUCAACUUGCUUCAACAGAAUCAUGUAUCAAUAUUAAUGUGCUAAAGAGCUUUGUAUGU
Molecule: long non-coding RNA, 16439 nt
Organism: Lycium barbarum (goji berry)
Lineage: Eukaryota; Viridiplantae; Streptophyta; Magnoliopsida; Solanales; Solanaceae
Exons: 4
Source: RefSeq, a predicted model, not a curated record